UACAGAGGGUGCGAGCGUUAAUCGGAAUUACUGGGCGUAAAGCGUGCGUAGACGGCUAUCUAAGUCGGGUGUGAAAGCCCCGGGCUCAACCUGGGAAUUGCAUUCGAGACUGAAUAGCUAGGGUACGGUAGAGGGAAGUGGAAUUUCCGGUGUAGCGGUGAAAUGCGUAGAUAUCGGGAGGAACAUCAGUGGCGAAAGCGACUUCCUGGACCAGUACCGACGUUCAGGCACGAAAGCGUGGGGAGCAAACAGG
RNAcentral lists this ribosomal RNA (253 nucleotides) under uncultured bacterium. Its description in RNAcentral is "partial 16S ribosomal RNA". It matches the Rfam family "Bacterial small subunit ribosomal RNA", at positions 524 to 776 of the family's 1533-position model. The record is from RNAcentral.